Molecule: ribosomal RNA, 906 nt
Filed under: uncultured bacterium
Lineage: Bacteria
Description: bacterial SSU rRNA
Rfam family: Bacterial small subunit ribosomal RNA
Source: RNAcentral
GGUGUCAGCAGCCGCGCGGUAAUACGUAGGGCGCGAGCGUUGUCCGGAAUUAUUGGGCGUAAAGAGCUCGUAGGCGGCUGGUCGCGUCUGUCGUGAAAUCCUCUGGCUUAACUGGGGGCUUGCGGUGGGUACGGGCCGGCUUGAGUGCGGUAGGGGAGACUGGAACUCCUGGUGUAGCGGUGGAAUGCGCAGAUAUCAGGAAGAACACCGGUGGCGAAGGCGGGUCUCUGGGCCGUUACUGACGCUGAGGAGCGAAAGCGUGGGGAGCGAACAGGAUUAGAUACCCUGGUAGUCCACGCCGUAAACGUUGGGCACUAGGUGUGGGGGGCCUUUUCCGGGUCUUCCGCGCCGUAGCUAACGCAUUAAGUGCCCCGCCUGGGGAGUACGGCCGCAAGGCUAAAACUCAAAGGAAUUGACGGGGGCCCGCACAAGCGGCGGAGCAUGCGGAUUAAUUCGAUGCAACGCGAAGAACCUUACCAAGGCUUGACAUGUGCCGGUCGGCUCCGGAGACGGGGUUUCCUCCUUGUGGGGCCGGUUCACAGGUGGUGCAUGGUUGUCGUCAGCUCGUGUCGUGAGAUGUUGGGUUAAGUCCCGCAACGAGCGCAACCCUUGUCCCGUGUUGCCAGCACGUUGUGGUGGGGACUCGCGGGAGACUGCCGGGGUCAACUCGGAGGAAGGUGGGGAUGACGUCAAAUCAUCAUGCCCCUUAUGUCUUGGGCUUCACGCAUGCUACAAUGGCCGGUACAGAGGGCUGCGAUACCGUGAGGUGGAGCGAAUCCCUUAAAGCCGGUCUCAGUUCGGAUCGGUGUCUGCAACUCGACACCGUGAAGUUGGAGUCGCUAGUAAUCGCAGAUCAGCAACGCUGCGGUGAAUACGUUCUCGGGCCUUGUACACACCGCUCGUCAA